Molecule: ribosomal RNA, 396 nt
Filed under: uncultured bacterium
Lineage: Bacteria
Description: partial 16S ribosomal RNA
Rfam family: Bacterial small subunit ribosomal RNA
Source: RNAcentral
AUACGUAGGUGACAAGCGUUAUCCGGAUUUACUGGGCGUAAAGGGCGUGUAGGCGGUCUUGCAAGUCAGAAGUGAAAUUCCUGAGCUCAACUCGGGCGCUGCUUCUGAAACUGCAGGACUUGAGUGCUGGAGGGGAUAGCGGAAUUCCUAGUGGAGCGGUAAAAUGCGCAGAUAUUAGGAAGAACACCGGUGGCGAAGGCGGCUAUCUGGACAGUAACGGACGCUGAGGGGCGAAAGCGUGGGGAGCAAACAGGAUUAGAUACCCUGGUAGUCCACGCCGUAAACGAUGGAUACUAGGUGUAGGAGGUAUCGACUCCCUCUGUGCCGCAGUUAACACAAUAAGUAUUCCGCCUGGGGAGUACGGCCGCAAGGUUGAAACUCAAAUGAAUUGACGGG